CAUUGUUGUCUCUUAACUUAUUUUAUGAGAGUCAAAAUUGUAGCAAACUCUGUCAAAAUAUUAUUUUGAAGAUGACAAAGGAAAUGAAAUUAGUAGUUAUAGCAGUCAUUUGUUUAAUUAGCAUCACCUAUGCUUCCGUAAUUAAAAAUUAUACAGAUUUUUCUGAAAUUUCUGGAUUUGAACUGAACGGAAGCGAAAGGUUUGUAAC
Parasteatoda tepidariorum (common house spider) is the source of this 208-nucleotide non-coding RNA. Lineage: Eukaryota; Metazoa; Arthropoda; Arachnida; Araneae; Theridiidae. The record is from RefSeq and is a predicted model, not a curated record.